UAACUGUGUUAUUUUAUGCUGUCAAAGUCUCCGUGCUUCCUUUCUAAUGUGCCAAGGUAAUUUUCUCAAUUAUUUCUGUUUCUCAGUAGGUCAUGAUUGAGCAAGCACUACCCAUAUCAAUGUGCAAUUAAAGCAAGAGAAAGUCCAAAUCCCCGUAUGAUCUAAUUGUACAAAAAUUUGGCUAGCUCUCAUGCUAAAUGUGCCCUUUGACCUGAAAGAAAUAUUCCUAAGAUAUUUUUUUUCACCUAGAACUAUAAAUGAGAUGCAUCAGAAGUUCCUUAACUAAUUGAGAAAUGGCUGAAUGAUCUCGUCUCUUUGACUGGUACCUACUGGCAUGCAUUUUAUUGAUGGUGUGAAAGAAACUAAAUUUGGACUCUAAUCAGUAAGGUGGAGCAAUUUAAGCAAAGGAUGUUAAGAUUAAAGAAUAGUGUUAUUGAAAGGAACUUCACAAAAUGAACACAAAAAACACAAUCAAAGAUUUAAGCAAAGAUAUUAUUAAAGCAGAGAGUUAAAAUUCAUUUAAUGAGACAUGUUAUUGAGGAAGAGAAAAUCUCUAAUCUGAAGCCAGAAGAAGAGAGGCCACACUUUAUCUUUGCUUAAGCAUUUAAGCAUAUAUCCUACAGAUAAAGGAUGCACUUUUGCCUAGUGACCACAGAGGAAGAGAGCUUUGAUUUCAUGAAGUACACGUGGUACAAAUUUAUAAGCUAGUUCAUUCAUCCACAUCCACAAAAAGCCGUCUAGCAACAAUUCAUGUGACCACUUUCUCCUGGGGCUCAAUGACAUGCAGAAUAUCUAGAUUUUAGAGGGUGGAUAGUUAGCUUAAAUAGUUGCACUAUGUUCUAAAUAAUAUUGGGGCCCAUUUAACUUUAAAUAGAGAACUCUGUUUCAUGGGGAAAAAUGUACCCAUGACCUUGGCUAGCCUUCUUGCAAUGUUGGGUCAUAAUUACAGCUGGGACCUUGAGUAAAAUAACUGCAAAAGCAGGGACUUCUACCAGUUUUUAUAGAUAGAUUUUGUAUGCAAAGGGGAGCACAAAAUUGGGGGCUUCCUGUUUUCCACAAAUGUCUUGAGACCGGACUUUCCUUAUUGAGUGUCCUUAGCCAGGUCAAAUAAAAACAAGUCCCAAACUUGUCAGGCAUAUGACUAAUAAAUAAUAUAAUGUAAAGAAUAUUUGUGAACCUAAAAUAGAGAUGCUACAGAUAAGUAAAAUUAACAAAUAAUCCCCAAAUCACUUUAUGCUCCGAUCUUUCAGCAAGUCCUUAAAGAGGAGAGAAGUGCUAAUGAGAAGGGGCAGGGGAGAGGGUGUACCAUCCCAUCAAGUCAAAUGAAGGAGGCCACUAAGAGAAAUGGUCUCGGCAUAGAGCACUAGCAGAAUCUUGUUUUUCAGUUAGUUUACUGAGCUGCACAUCUGUGGACUCUCUGGUGUCAUCCCUAAAAUGUAUUAAAGUAAGAAGUCCCUUUGGAGAAGUGAUAUUGUGUAUGUGUGAUUGUGUUGGCAUGAUAAAGGAUGAUGGUUAAAAAUGCAGAGGACUGCAGGUGGAGCACCCAGAGAAAGGGGAGGUUUUGCACUACUCUGCCAAGUAAAGAGAGCAUCAAGAGCAUCACUCACUGAGAUGAAUAGAUACACCUUACUGUACAUAAAAUAGAUUUAAAAUGAAGAACACAAAAAACACAAAGAUUUAUGCAAAGAGAUAUUAUUAAAGCAGAGAGAUAAAAUUCAUUUAAUGAGACCAUGUAUAGUACAGGGAACUAUAUUCAGUAUAUUUUAAUAACCUAUAAUGGAACAGAAUCUGAAAAAGAAUACACACACAUGAAGUAUAGCUGAAUCACUUUACUAUAUACCUGAAACUAAUGCAACAUUGUAAAUCAACUAUACUUUCGUGUGUAUUUAAAAAAAAACACCUCUAUCCAAGGCAGAAAAGACCAAGAUAUAAAGCUCCUCAUUUCCUGUCUGUAUAUAGUGGCCUCAUCAGUAACAUAAAUCAUUCAACUUAGAAAAAAAAAAACCCUUUAUCUGUUCCCCUCCCCACCAAAAAAAUUGAAAGAAAAAAAUACAGAAAGAAGGCCAUAAUGCUUUAACCUUUAGAGGACAUUUGUAAUGGUCCAUUAGUUGCUAACGCUUUCUCUCUGUGACAGAUGCUUAGGCUAUCAUUGUGGAUUGAAUCCAGUAGGAGAGCUCUGAAAAGAACAAGGUCCAGGGCUUCUAGCCAGAGACUCAUAGAUGUUAUUAGUACACAUCCUUUGGCCAAGGUUCUAUGUAUAUGCAAAUUACAUACCUGUAAUAGGUUGACGUAGACAUGAUGUGCUGUAGGAGGCCUCAUUAGGAAUUGGGCAGCCCUCACGUGUAGAUACUGAUGAGGUGCCGUUGGGACACACAUACUCAUAUAACAGUAAUGUAUGAGUUUUCUGUGCAAGAAGAACACAGGCAAAAGGGAACCAAUUUUGAGCCAUCUUGGUAAUUUUGAGCCAUUUUGAGCCUCAUUCAGGAAGGCUGUCUGCUAGCAAUGUUAUUCUCAUAGCAAAAGGAGGAAGUUGUGAAGGGGAUUAGAAAAGAUCAUUUGGAAGUUCUCUCUCCUAUAUGAGGAAAAUAUGCAUUUUUCAGAACCUGGCAUGCAUUUCGUAAGAAAGCAUCUUAUUUCCUCAGUAUAAUUGAAAAUAUUAAGAAACAUGGUAGGAAGUAAACUCUAGUAGCCAGAUCCAGGUCUAAACCCAAAUUAGAGGGAUUAAUGAAAGGCAUUUUUCAAAAGAAAAUUCUAAACAAUGGUGUAAUCAAGAGGAUACAUAAUCUUAGGGUUCUGGUAAAAUCUUAAGCCAAUAAAAGGAAAAAAAAGGAGAGAAAAACCCCAAAUCUUUAUAAGGAAUUCGUGAUCAAAAUAUAAAACAAAACUAUAGUGUGGUAUUGCAAGAUUAUUACAAUACAAAUAGUCCUUAAAAGGUAAUUCAUUUGACAUUUUGUUUUGAAGUAAACUGUUUUGACUCAGGCUUCCGUUCCUCUCUGUGCUCAAUUACACUAAGCAAUUACAUGGAAAAAAAUAAUUAGACAACUGUAGAUAAAAUCACUGUUAAACAUUGUAGAAUUAUCUAAGUAAAACUACUGAAAAAGUACAGAAGGUUUAGUGAGUUAUAAAAAAAUAUAAAUAAGUUUGUCUUUUUCAGUGACAGAGAUAUCACAGGUAACAAAAUUUUAUGAUGGAUAUGGAGAAAACUGGAGGGAAAUAGAGGGGAAUUUAUUCCUUGAAAUGAAUUUGAAAUAGAUUCAAGUAUUAUAUCGAAUCAUUAUCCUUGCAAGAUAAAACAGAAGGAGAAUAGAAUCCUAACAUAUCUGAGUGUCUAUGACAUGGUACUAAGUGGCUGUCUGGUACGAGACAAGUUACUCUUCUAUUUGUCCUUCCAUUCUCUUUUUACCUGCUCUUUUGGCAUUCUGAUGAUAAGGAGUUUAGCUUAUUUAUUGAUUGUCCUUUUAGUCAUUUGUCUGCAUCACUGAGUCUGAGAUCCCAUGACCUACGUAUUUACAAAGAGGGAUGUUGAACUAAUCCAAAUUACUUACUCUGUAGAAAAAAAUACCCUCUUCCAAUUCUAAUAUUGAGUAUUUGUUCUGGUGAGGAAAGCAACUUUUCAAAGUUACUGAAUACAACCUUUUAUUUCCUGAUUAGCUUGAAAGAGUGAAAUAAAGGUGUUGAAGACCUUCUGUCCUUUCAUUCUGGUAUUCAUGGAAACUGAGAGGAAUAUCCAUAAUGUUUUCUAAUUUUUAGUGAAAUAGCUGAAACUGUAAAAUGUUGAGUCUUCAAACCUCAAAUAUUCAUAGAAUGGAAUUAACUUUUUUAAGAGGCAUCUUUUUAGAUGUAUUAUUCCCUCUCAAUUUAGGUGACAGAGGCCAGAGACCUUGAUUGCCUGGUCCCUUGCAAAGGGCUUCUGGAGUAUUACCAUGUCCCAAUCUAUGGAGUGAAAGAUAGUUAGCAAUAUAUUCUUUGGGUCAAGGAAUUUUAGGGGUGAUUUUAAGUUUUGGUUGGGGAAAUAUUAGAAUAAUGUAAAUAGGGGCUUAACGAUUGAUUUAUCAGCUCACUGUUUUGAAGAACUUAGUGCACAUUGGCUGUAAAUAUCUCUGACAUGAUUAGGCAUUAGUGUAAGGGUUUUGUUUACUUUGGUCAAUGCUAAUCACAUUUUCUUUGUGGCUGAACACUAGCCAGUGAAGACGAUUUUUUGUUUUUACCCAAAUACAGACGAUUUUUUGUUUUUACCCAAAGCUAACUCAGGCUUAGCUUUUUUAAGAAUGGAAAUUUUAUUCAGCAACUCAAGAUUUUUUCCAUUAUAAUAUUGUCACACAGUGUGUGUGCAAAAUGUUUAAGUGAAACUUGCCACCCUCUUAACAGUAAAAUAAAGAAGUAAAGUCACAAGGUCUUUAUUUUUUUUUCUAUUAAAUAAUGUAUGACUGAUAACUUGAAUCAACAUAUAAAGCGUCUCAGACCUGUCAAAUAGCAUUGAAAGCAACAAAAUUUAUGGGUGGUAUUCUAAAUCACUAUCAGGGUGGAUUGCCAGUCUCUAUUAUAGAAGUAAAUUAACAGGGAUGUUUUUGGCUGAAACAGUGAAGAGGGAUGUGGAAUUCUGUUGUACAAAAAAUAUCCCAUUUAGUUCCAGUUGGAUGUGUUUGGCAACUUUUCCCAUGUGUGUUGGUUUAAUACACCAUACCUCACGUUGCCAUCUGGUCUCUACCAGGAGGAAAGAGAAAAUUACCUACAAUUUAAAUAGGUUCAUUCUUUGUUGUCAGGUAGAGAUUUUUCUUGGUUCUGAUGACUUGAAAUUCCUAUGCCUUUCUUUUUACCCUGAAUCUCACAUCUUCUCUUAUAAUUCAAGCUGUGUAAGAGUGCAUGUGCAUGUGGGUGCAUGCAUGCAUGCAUGUGAGUCUUUGUGUGUCUGUAAAGGAAACUCAGGCUUAGCUUUUUUAAGAAUGGAAAUUUUAUUCUGCAACUCAAGAUUUUUUCCAUUAUAAUAUUGUCACACAGAGUGUGUGCAAAAUGUUUAAGUGAAUUUUGCUUUUCACUGAAUGAACUGGAAACAUAUUUCAACUUACUCUUAAAAUCCACCCUGAAUCAAAAAGAGAAGCAUUUCUGUAAAGCUUUUAAACUUAAUAAUAGGUUUCUUAUAAUGUGUCUGACACAUAGACAAAAGGUUAAAUAUAAAAAAACCCAUAGAAAAAUACUUUUUUUUGGAUGGGAUAACAUAGUUUUAUACGUUUUUGGUUUUAUAUAUUCAAAGUGAGUUCUUCGAUU
This 5265-nucleotide long non-coding RNA is filed under the name Sus scrofa (pig). RNAcentral's name for it is "lncRNA (ENSSSCG00000060460.1)". Lineage: Eukaryota; Metazoa; Chordata; Mammalia; Artiodactyla; Suidae. The record is from RNAcentral.